GGGCAGCAAUGAUGGUGGUCCAUGACUGUCGAUGCUCUCUCUCUUUCUCUCUUCUUUCCCUCCCUUUGCUCCCUCAUUCUCAGUACCCCGCCGUCCUCAGCCCAUCUGUUCCUGCUUGGCCUCUCGAGCUCUCCAUCAGGGAUUACGGGGAAAGGAGAAGACAGACAGAAAUCUACAUUUAACUGGUAUGUUUCGAACUGUUGUCUUACAACAAAUGAUGGGUUAUGUAUGUGUGUUGUUGUUCUUUUAUCACACAUUCUGCAAGCCUUCUCCAUCCCAGCCCCCCCCCAUGUCCUGUAGCCAGUGGGAGAUUUCACAGGCAUUAUUGAAAUGUGGACACUGAGGAUGAUGUAACCAAGCUUUCAGGAACAGAGAGAGGGGCAGAAAUAAUAGACGGGGGUGGAGGGGUGGGGGGCAACGUUGGGGUAGGAUGGUGGUUGGGGGGAGGUAUUUGGCAUAUUUCUCUUUGCUGGUGUCCAGGUCUGCUGGCUCAAGACACUGACUGCUGAGGGCUUGGAUCUGGAUGCUACGCUUGGUGCUGCUUCUCUCUGUGUCUGUUUGGCUACAACUCCCCAGAACAAGAUGAUGUCAUUCACAGGGAUUUGUGAACAUUCUUGAUAAAGAGACAAAAUCACAGGGGCGAGCCCAACGUUGCCAGAGUGUGAACAGGUCAAAGAACUAUACCACUCCUCUUUAUGGGUGGGUCGAUUCAUCGUGGUGAAUCACGAAAGUGGAUUUUUAUUGCUUAUAAACUGCAAAUAUUAUAAAUGCGUGAAGCUGGAAAAAUAAUAAUGGGAGCUGAAUAAGCUACAGUGAUGUCUUAAUACCAUUCGGCUCCUUGAGUUUCAGGUUCCUGGUAAUGAACAUCUGAAGUCCUCAGUGCCCUCAACCAUUUGUAUGUUCAUUAACAAUACACUUUUUGCUUUUAUUCUCCAUCAUAUUAUUAUCCGCAAACACACUUUGUGAUUAUCUUUUUUUAUCUUCACAGUGUUUCAACUGGAUUCCACCAAGGCGAAACAAACCAUGCACCACAGCUAAGCUGUUUUAAAUCACUUCAAUAGGAGGAGCUCCAUCACAAAACCAAUUACAAGGAUCAAACUUGACUGAAAUCAGUCAAAAUUCAAAGCCAAAAAUCAAGAUUUUUGCUGUGAAAAAGAUGUUUCUGAUCUGGCACAGAUCAGCAUGAAGAUACUGUGGAAAAGUGAGAUAAACUGCUUUUUGACAUAUGAGGCAAAAACAAGACAAAAGCUUUUGUGUCAAACCUCUUUUCAAAUGUAGUUCCAGUAUUCAGUUCCCUUUUAGUUUUUCUACCUAGACACUAAUUUUUCCUGUCUCAUAGUAAGGAACGCAAAGGUAGCUUGCUCGCAUUUUGGAAAUGUGAGCAAUACAAUCAAAACAAUUAGCUAAAAGAGGCUAAAAAGGUGAAUGACAUAAAACAUCUGGUGAAAAUAAUGGUAUUUCUGAAAACACCUAUUAGUGCAGUUUUUCAGUUCAAUUCACUGAAUUUAUAGAGCAUCAAAUGACAGCAGCCUGAAGCCUAGAAUUUUAAGGGGGUUCAGACAGCGUACCGUAAAAAAAAUCCCAGAAACUUGUUCAGUUAGCCCUCAGCAACUCGGCAACCUUCUGAUGAUCUUCUGGCAACCGCUGGUUGCUUGGAAAAAAUAUGUAAUCCCCAACCAGUUGAGGAAUAGAAUAGAAUGCCUUUAUUGUCACUAUACAGUUGUACAAUGAGAUACAGAGCAUCUCCUACUCAGCGCAAACAUGCUGGGGGGGGGGGGUACAGUUCUGCAGCGCUAUAUAUAUAUACAUAUGGACAGUAUUAACAGAGGGAAAAAGAUAUAUAUAUAUAUAAAAUGUACAAAUAUACAAGCCGGUUUUAAAAAAAGUAAUUUGUAAGAAAUAGUGUUGUAUAUAUACAGUUGGGUUAUUGCACAUAGAAUUAGUAUUGCACAGUGGUGGUCCACUGUGGGGGGGGGCUGUGUUAUCGGUGCAUGUGUGAGUUCAGGGUGGUUAUGGCUUUGGGGAAGAAACUGUUUUUGAGUCUGUGGGUUUUUGUGCUGAUGCACCUGUAGCGCAGGCUGAACAUGUUGAAACCAGGGUGGGAGCUGUCCUUGAUAAUGUUUGCUGCUCUGCUGAGGCAGCGGGAGGAAUAAAUGUCCAUCAGGGAGGGGAGAGGGCAGCCAAUGAUCUUUUGUGCUGUCUUGACCACACUCUGAAGCCUCACUCUAUCCGCCUUGGUGCAGCUGCCGUACCAUACCGUGAUGCAGUAGGUUAGCAGGCUCUCAAUGGACGAGCGGUAGAAGGUCAGCAGCAGGUUGGAGUUCAGCUUGUACUUCCUGAGGACUCUCAGGAAGUGCAGCCGCUGUUGGGCCUUCUUGACGACCGCUGAGAUGUUGUCUGUCCAGGAGAUGUCAGCAGAGAUGAGGACACCAAGGAACCGGAAGGUGUGGACCCUCUCCACACACUCCCCGUUGAUGUAAAGGGGGGCUAAGUCAGUGCUGUGUCUCCUGAAGUCGAUAAUAAGCUCUUUGGUUUUCUUAGUGUUCAGUGCCAGGUUGUUUUCUGAACACCAUGCUGCCAGUUUCAGGACUUCCUCUCUGUAGUCUGCCUCGUCUCCCUUUGAGAUGAGUCCGACUACCGUGGUGUCAUCAGCAAACUUGAUGAUGAGAGUGUUGUUGUGGGUCGAACUGCAGUCGUGGGUGUAGAGAGAAUACAGGAGGGGGCUCAGCACACAGCCCUGUGGGGAGCCGGUGCUCAGUGUGCGAGUGGAGGAGAGAUGAGGGCCGAGUCUUACGGUCUGGGGCCGGUUUGUGAGAAAGUCCUUUAUCCAGGCACAUGUGAGAGGAGGGAGGCCAAGAGUGACCAGUUUGGUGAUGAGGAUGUCCGGGAUGAUUGUAUUAAAGGCUGAGCUGUAGUCCACGAAGAGCAUUCGGACGUAGCUCUGCCGCUGCUCUAGGUGACUCAGCACAGCGUAGAGGGCUGUGGCGAUGGUGUCUUCUGUGGAUCUGUUAGCACGGUAUGCAAACAGGUGGGGGGCGAAUUCUGGGGGGAGGUAAUCCUUGAUGUGCUGAAGGACUAGUCUCUCAAAGCAUUUCAUGAUUACCGGUGUGAGGGCCACAGUUUGCUGGAGACUGCUGCACCUCCUUAUGAUUGUUUGGUUUCUAGCAGAUUGCCGCAGCCACCUGUAGUUUGCCUGGAAGAUGUUAACUGUUGUCUGCAAAAACUGAGAAAAACUAGAUAAACUGCAAAAAGUACAACACAAAUCAGAAACUAAGAAGAUUUGCCCUUUCAGAUGUGUUGAUUGCAGUGUCACGACACAACCUUUGUGCAUCCUACACAAACUAUAGGCAGACGCAGCUAUCCAUUAGUGACCAAACCAGUUGUAAGGAGGUUUCUGCUGCAACACUGUAUACCUCUUUAGCAGUUUCUCAUAGCGACAUGAAGCAAUCACUUGCCAACUGGUUGGGGAAUGCAUAUUUUUCCCAGCUAAUCUUUAGCUGCCAGGGGUGACUGACUGGUCUCUAGGCCUGUGUGACUCAGCCUUCGGUAAUCAGUUUCACAGUGAAUGCCAGCAAGCACUCGCCAGCUGGUUGGGAAAUACACAUUUUUCCCUAGCAAGGAGAGCAUAGUUGCCAGGGGGUCACCAACUGGUCUCUGCACCUAUCUGACUGGGGCCUUAGCAGGCUCAUUUGGUUGGUUAAUAACAAAAAUAUCUAGAGUGCUUGAAUUUAUAUUUGUAAUUGUACUAUAAGCUCAUAGCUCAUUCUGCCACCUGCUGUGUUUCAUGGAGUGGUUUAUACUUACACAGGUGGCUCAAUAAAGGCAGGUGCUGACACACAGCUACACAGUGGUUUUUUUCUUUGUUUUAAGGUUUCCAUGUUGGUGGUGCACCAGCGUUAAAGCUUCAUUUUUAACCGCUUGACUUUUUUGUUUAUACAUUCAAACCUCUACUAAGUGCUCCCUGCUAUGGACAGAAGCUCUCGCGGGGUAGUAUCGCUUACACCACAGCAGGUUCUUGUCUGUGUCUGCAGGACUGUCUCCCAGUUGAGUCCGCGUGAAACAGAGAGUGAAACCGUAUCAAACCAGUCAUCAUUACAAGCCCAUUCCAAAACCCCAGGAGGGAUUACACAACGGUCAGUGCGUAGUGGGUGUGACACAGGCUUCUCCGUCAACCCCAGUGCUCACAGUGAGUAAUGAGUCCACCCAGGAGGACCUAAGCACACGCCCAGGGCCCAAGGAAAUGUAUGUGCUCACCAUGUCUGGUAUGACAACCCCCCUCCUCGACUAGCCAGGAACAGAAACUCAUAUCUGCCUCUCUGUCUUUGAUCCCAAUAAUCCCUCCCACAAAACAUAUUGUGUGGUUUUUAUAUGGCGCCCUACAUAAGGUAAGAGGCUUAUUGCAUCUUUUGCCUUUGUGCACACAGACAAAUGCUUGCUUUGUGUGCUUGUCUUCCCUAUCUCGCUGUUUUUCUAUUGCACACACAUUCAGACUAUGAGGCCCAGACAUAAAUCAAUAUGACUCAAAAUGCAAAGAAAACAUUGACCCAAAACAUACAGCACAGCAAUGAUGAAGGCAUUUAUUUGCUCAGCGGGGUCUGUGCUGAUAUGUGAACGAACCAUUUUGUUUGCAGAGAAAAUGGAGGUGAAUUAAUUGAUGUGCGAGGGGUGUAAUUUAAUGCCCAGGGGCCUAGUGAGCCAAUUAUAGUUGAGUGUGGAG
Molecule: long non-coding RNA, 4717 nt
Organism: Oreochromis niloticus (Nile tilapia)
Lineage: Eukaryota; Metazoa; Chordata; Actinopteri; Cichliformes; Cichlidae
Source: Ensembl